RNAcentral lists this unclassified non-coding RNA (305 nucleotides) under Hevea brasiliensis (rubber tree). The record is from RNAcentral. Lineage: Eukaryota; Viridiplantae; Streptophyta; Magnoliopsida; Malpighiales; Euphorbiaceae.
UUUGUUCCUGGUGAAAUUUGUCGAAUCUUUCGGUCAGCUGGUGAAAAGUUUCUACACCAUUAUAUAACUAUGAGAACUCAGAGAGUAUCAGUUCUCCUUAAGAAGAGGUUUAAAGCUCCAAACUGGGUCAAGCACAAGGAGCCAAGAGAAGUUCAUAUGUUUGUUGACUUAUUUCUUCAGGAGUUGGAAACAAUAGGUUCUGAGGUGAAGCAGGUUUUAUCACAAGGAGUUCUUCGCAAGCNNNNCAAUGGCAGCACCACAUCCUCUCGCAGCAAUCCAUUACGAGAUGAUAGAAUGACUCGGAC